GGGGAAGGGGUGGCUGUGCGCGCAGCUUCAGCAGACUUAAACGUUCCUGCCUGUCAGCUCUGAAGAGAACAGCAGAUCUCCUAGCACAGCGCUUGAGCUCUGCUAAGGGACAGACUGCCUCCUCAAGUGGGUCCCUGAUCGCCAUGCCUCCUGACUAGAAGACACCUCCCAACAGGGGUAGACAGACACCUCAUACAGGAGACCUCCUGCUGUCAUCAGGUGGGAGCCCCUCUGGGAUGAAGCUUCCAGAGGAAGGAGCAGGCAGCAAUCUUUGCUGUUCUGCAGCCUCCGCUGGUGAUACCCAAACAAACAAGGUCUGGAGUGGACCUCCAGCAAACUCCAGCAGACCUGCAGAAGAGAGUCCUGACUGUUAGAAAGACAACUAACAAACAGAAACAAUAACAUCAAUAUCAAGAAAAGGGACACCCACCCAAAAACCCCAUCCAAUGGUCAAUAGCAUCAAAAAUCAAAGAAAUGUACUUCUAUUAUUCCUAGAUGUGUGUCAGCCAAGAACUUAUCUCAGAAACUGCUUAUCCUUGCAAUAACAAAGGGGAAGUUUCCUCUUUAAAAAGGAACAUUGGGCUAAGAUGAUAUACUCUGAAGACGUAAAAAUGGCCUGGUGUCUAUUACAAAUAAAUGAAACACCAGAGUAUUGAAUGUAAUAUCUUCUGGUGUUUAGGUCUUAAUUUCUAAUAUGAGGUGCUUUUAAAAUUUUCAAGCUAUGUUUGAUGCAGAAAAUUAAACUUGACACAUUAAAGAAUACCAACUCACUUCGGACCUCUUAAGAAACAUGUAUUCUUCUGUAAGAAGCAACAUGUGAAUCAAGUUUAAAAGAUUAUGAACAUUUUGGACACUUG
This 857-nucleotide long non-coding RNA is filed under the name Homo sapiens (human). Its description in RNAcentral is "HSALNT0272397". The record is from RNAcentral. Lineage: Eukaryota; Metazoa; Chordata; Mammalia; Primates; Hominidae.